GCCGAAGUGGCGGAACUGGUAGACGCGCCGGACUCAAAAUCCGGUUCCCCUUGGGGAGUGUGGGUUCGAUUCCCACCUUCGGCA
Molecule: transfer RNA, 84 nt
Filed under: Actinomycetota bacterium
Lineage: Bacteria; Bacillati; Actinomycetota
Description: tRNA-Leu
Rfam family: tRNA
About the family: Transfer RNA (tRNA) molecules are approximately 80 nucleotides in length.
Source: RNAcentral